UGAAGCUAGUGGAGAACGAAUCGUCAGUGGGAUAGUAAUACCACAGACGAGAGUACAUAAUCCGCCGUACGAAGUGAAAUUAGAGGAACUUUGCAUCUAUACAUGCAAAACAGAAAUGGAAAAUGGAGAUGUAUCUCCUUAUCAAAAAGAUAUAAAUAAUAAAGGAAUAAGUAUAUUGGUCAUUGAAAUUAGAUUUAGA
RNAcentral lists this long non-coding RNA (199 nucleotides) under Neodiprion pinetum (white pine sawfly). Its description in RNAcentral is "uncharacterized LOC124215486". The record is from RNAcentral. Lineage: Eukaryota; Metazoa; Arthropoda; Insecta; Hymenoptera; Diprionidae.